ACCCACAAGCUGUCGCGCCCGUCGAACCCGGAGUUCCGGACGCUGUUCAAGGCCAGCCGCCCCAACGUGGCCAUGUUCUAAGCGCCAGUUGGGCUGCCUUUGGACAGCAGGCGUGGUGGGAGCCACUGCUGCGGCAAGAACUUUGUUGCACAGGGCUGCCGCGUUGGCAGCAGCUGCUGCCUGAGCUGCUAUGUGUGGGACUUGGCAUAUUCGUUGGCAAGGGCAUCGGCAACAGCGGCGGCUGUGUCGUAGCGUUUGCUGGGGCCGCCGGGGUGGGCGCUGCGGC
Molecule: long non-coding RNA, 286 nt
Filed under: Volvox carteri
Lineage: Eukaryota; Viridiplantae; Chlorophyta; Chlorophyceae; Chlamydomonadales; Volvocaceae
Description: long non-coding RNA (VCAR_LNC000700)
Source: RNAcentral